UACGUAGGUGACAAGCGUUGUCCGGAUUUACUGGGCGUAAAGAGCGCGCAGGCGGUCGAUCAAGUCGAGUGUGAAAGCCCCCGGCUCAACUGGGGAGGGUCAUUCGAUACUGAUCGACUCGAAGGCAGGAGAGGGUAGCGGAAUUCACGGUGUAGCAGUGAAAUGCGUAGAUAUCGUGAGGAACACCAGAGGCGAAGGCGGCUACCUGGACAAUUGCUGACACUCAGGCACGAAGGCGUGGGGAGCAAAAGGG
RNAcentral lists this ribosomal RNA (253 nucleotides) under uncultured bacterium. RNAcentral's name for it is "partial 16S ribosomal RNA". It matches the Rfam family "Bacterial small subunit ribosomal RNA", at positions 524 to 776 of the family's 1533-position model. The record is from RNAcentral.